GUGAUGUCGAAUUUACAUGGAUAACCGUGGUAAUUCUAGAGCUAAUACAUGCUGGUAGGCCCGACUUUUGCGGAAGGGCGGUAUUUAUUAGAUAACAAGCCAAUAUUCCUCUGGUCUAUUGUGGUGACUCAUAAUAACUGAUCGAAUCGCAAGGCCUUUGGCCGCGAUAAGUCAUUCAAGUUUCUGCCCCAUCAGCUUUCGAUGGUAGUGUAUUGGACUACCAUGGCGGUUACGGGUAACGGAGGAUUAGGGUUCGAUUCCGGAGAGGGAGCCUGAGAAACGGCUACCACAUCUAAGGAAGGCAGCAGGCGCGUAAAUUACCCAAUCCUGACUCAGGGAGGUAGUGACAAGAAAUAACGGACCGAGGCCUUCGGGCUUCGGGAUUGGAAUGAGCCGAAUUUACACCCCUUAGCGAAGAUCGAUUGGAGGGCAAGUCUGGUGCCAGCAGCCGCGGUAAUUCCAGCUCCAAUAGCGUAUAUUAAAGUUGUUGCAGUUAAAAAGCUCGUAGUUGGAUUUCUGGGAGGGUGCCGAUGUCCACUUAACGUGUGCGCAGCGGCGCCCUCUCAUCCUUCUGUUAGCGUCUCUUGGCAUUCAUUUGCUGGUGGCGGGCUCAGAUAUUUUACCUUGAGAAAAUUAGAGUGUUUCAGGCAGGCUAGGCCGGAAUACAUUAGCAUGGAAUAAUGGAAUAGGACUACGGUCUCUUUGUUGGGUUGAGGGACUGCAGUAAUGAUUAAUAGGGAUAGUUGGGGGCAUUAGUACUUAACUGUCAGAGGUGGAAUUCUCAGAUUUGUUAAAGACUGACUUAUGUGAAAGCAUUUGCCAAGGAUGUUUUCAUUAAUCAAGAACGAAAGUUAGGGGAUCAAAGACGAUCAGAUACCGUCCUAGUCUUAACCAUAAACUAUGCCGACUCGGGAUUGGGGGCGUGUUCUAUCCGCCUUCAGCACCGUAUGAGAAAUCAAGUCUUUGGGUUCUGGGG
This 976-nucleotide ribosomal RNA is filed under the name uncultured eukaryote. RNAcentral describes it as "SSU rRNA". It matches the Rfam family "Eukaryotic small subunit ribosomal RNA", at positions 121 to 1119 of the family's 1831-position model. The record is from RNAcentral.